UUUGUAGCUCAGCUGGAUAGAGUGACUGACUACGAAUCAGUAGGUCGGGGGUUCGAGUCCCUCCAGGCG
RNAcentral lists this transfer RNA (69 nucleotides) under chicken gut metagenome. It matches the Rfam family "tRNA", at positions 6 to 65 of the family's 71-position model. Rfam says of the family: Transfer RNA (tRNA) molecules are approximately 80 nucleotides in length. Their secondary structure includes four short double-helical elements and three loops (D, anti-codon, and T loops). Further hydrogen bonds mediate the characteristic L-shaped molecular structure. tRNAs have two regions of fundamental functional importance: the anti-codon, which is responsible for specific mRNA codon recognition, and the 3' end, to which the tRNAs corresponding amino acid is attached (by aminoacyl-tRNA synthetases). tRNAs cope with the degeneracy of the genetic code in two manners: having more than one tRNA (with a specific anti-codon) for a particular amino acid; and 'wobble' base-pairing, i.e. permitting non-standard base-pairing at the 3rd anti-codon position. The record is from RNAcentral.